RNAcentral lists this transfer RNA (77 nucleotides) under Candidatus Zixiibacteriota bacterium. RNAcentral describes it as "candidate division Zixibacteria bacterium tRNA-Arg". It matches the Rfam family "tRNA". From Rfam's summary of the family: Transfer RNA (tRNA) molecules are approximately 80 nucleotides in length. Their secondary structure includes four short double-helical elements and three loops (D, anti-codon, and T loops). Further hydrogen bonds mediate the characteristic L-shaped molecular structure. tRNAs have two regions of fundamental functional importance: the anti-codon, which is responsible for specific mRNA codon recognition, and the 3' end, to which the tRNAs corresponding amino acid is attached (by aminoacyl-tRNA synthetases). tRNAs cope with the degeneracy of the genetic code in two manners: having more than one tRNA (with a specific anti-codon) for a particular amino acid; and 'wobble' base-pairing, i.e. permitting non-standard base-pairing at the 3rd anti-codon position. Lineage: Bacteria; Pseudomonadati; Candidatus Zixiibacteriota. The record is from RNAcentral.
GCCCCCGUAGCUCAGUAGGAUAGAGCAUCGGUUUCCUAAACCGCAGGUCGCAGGUUCGACUCCUGCCGGGGGUACCA